This 546-nucleotide ribosomal RNA is filed under the name uncultured Glomus. RNAcentral's name for it is "SSU rRNA". It matches the Rfam family "Eukaryotic small subunit ribosomal RNA", at positions 569 to 1116 of the family's 1831-position model. The record is from RNAcentral. Lineage: Eukaryota; Fungi; Glomeromycota; Glomeromycetes; Glomerales; Glomeraceae.
CGCAGCCGCGGUAAUUCCAGCUCCAAUAGCGUAUAUUAAAGUUGUUGCAGUUAAAAAGCUCGUAGUUGAAUUUCGGGAUCAAAUUGUCGGUCGUGCCUCGGUACGUACUGGCGUUAUUGGUUCCUCCCUUCUGAAGAACCGCGAUGUCAUUAAUUUGGUGUCGCGGGGAGUCAGGACUGUUACUUUGAAAAAAUUAGAGUGUUUAAAGCAGGCUCGCGCUUGAAUACAUUAGCAUGGGAUAAUGAAAUAGGACGUUUGAUUCUAUUUUGUUGGUUUCUAGGAUCGACGUAAUGAUUAAUAGGGAUAGUUGGGGGCAUUAGUAUUCAAUUGUCAGAGGUGAAAUUCUUGGAUUUAUUGAAGACUAACUACUGCGAAAGCAUUUGCCAAGGAUGUUUCAUUAAUCAAGAACGAAGUUAGGGGAUCGAAGACGAUCAGAUACCGUCGUAGUCUUAACCAUAAACCUAUGCCGACUAGGGAUCGGGAUGAUUGUUAAUUUUUAAUGUACUCAUUCGGCGCCUUACGGGAAACCAAAGUGUUUAGGGUUCG